UUCCGGUUGAUCCUGCCGGCGGGCACCGCUAUGGGAGUUCGCUUAAGACAUGCGAGUCGGCAAGUGAAACAGAGGCGGACGGCUCAGUAACACAUGGAUAACCUGACCUUGGGUGGAGGAUACUCUCGGGAAACUGAGGAUGAUACUCCAUAGGUCCGGGAUGCUGGAAUGCUUCCGGGCUGAAAGCCCCGCGGCCCAAGGGUGGGUCUGUGGCCUAUCAGCUUGUAGGGGGUUCAACAGACUCCCUAGGCUUCGACGGGUACGGGCUAUGGGAGUAGUCGCCCGGAGAUGGACUCUGAGACACGAGUCCAGGCCCUACGGGGCGCAGCAGUCGCGAAAACUCCACAAUGUGGGAAACCACGAUGGGGGAACUCCCAGUGCGUGCGCUUUGGGUACGCUGUUCUCUUGUCUAAAAAACAAGAGGAGUAAGGGCUGGGUAAGAUCGGGUGCCAGCCGCCGCGGUAAUACCCGCAGCCCGAGUGGUGCUCAUUAUUAUUGAGUCUAAAACGUCCGUAGCCGGUUUGGUAGAUGCCUGGGUAAAUCGUGGCGCUUAACGCUUCGAAUUCCGGGUAGACCGCCAGACUAGGGACCGGGAGAAGUAGGAGGUACUCCGGGGGUAGGGGUAAAAUCCUGUAAUCCUCAGAGGACCACCAGUGGCGAAGGCGUUCUACUAGAACGGAUCCGACGGUCAGGGACGAAGCCCAGGGGCGCAAACGGGAUUAGAUACCCCGGCAGUCCUGGGUGUAAACGCUGCAGGCUUGGUGUCGGAGGUCCUACGGGGACGUCCGGUGCCGGAGCGAAGGUGUUAAGCCUGCUACUUGGGGAGUACGGUCGCAAGACUGAAACUUAAAGGAAUUGGCGGGAGAGCACCGCAACGGGAGGAGCGUGCGGUUCAAUUGGAUUCAACGCCGGA
This 913-nucleotide ribosomal RNA is filed under the name uncultured archaeon. RNAcentral describes it as "bacterial SSU rRNA". It matches the Rfam family "Archaeal small subunit ribosomal RNA", at positions 1 to 922 of the family's 1478-position model. The record is from RNAcentral.